Molecule: ribosomal RNA, 484 nt
Filed under: uncultured bacterium
Lineage: Bacteria
Description: partial 16S ribosomal RNA
Rfam family: Bacterial small subunit ribosomal RNA
Source: RNAcentral
AGUGAACGCUGGCGGCAGGCCUAACACAUGCAAGUCGAGCGGCAGCGCGGGGGCAACCCUGGCGGCGAGCGGCGGACGGGUGAGGAAUUCGUCGGAAUCUGCCUUUUUGUGGGGGAUAACGUAGGGAAACUUACGCUAAUACCGCAUACGUCCUACGGGAGAAAGUGGGGGACCGCAAGGCCUCACGCAGAAAGAUGAGCCGACGACCGAUUAGCUAGUUGGUGGGGUAAAGGCCCACCAAGGCGACGAUCGGUAGCUGGUCUGAGAGGAUGAUCAGCCACACUGGGACUGAGACACGGCCCAGACUCCUACGGGAGGCAGCAGUGGGGAAUAUUGGACAAUGGGCGCAAGCCUGAUCCAGCCAUGCCGCGUGUGUGAAGAGGGCCUUCGGGUUGUAAAGCACUUUUGUCCGGAAAGAAAACCAUGGAGCUAAUACCUUCGGGGGAUGACGGUACCGGAAGAAUAAGCACCGGCUAACUUCGUG